CACGUAGGGCGCAAGCGUUGUCCGGAAUUAUUGGGCGUAAAGGGCUCGUAGGCGGUCUGUCGCGUCGGGAGUGAAAACUUACAGCUUAACUGUGAGCGUGCUUUCGAUACGGGCAGACUUGAGGCAUUCAGGGGAGAACGGAAUUCCUGGUGUAGCGGUGAAAUGCGCAGAUAUCAGGAGGAACACCGGUGGCGAAGGCGGUUCUCUGGGAAUGUCCUGACGCUGAGGAGCGAAAGUGUGGGGAGCGAACAGG
RNAcentral lists this ribosomal RNA (253 nucleotides) under uncultured bacterium. RNAcentral describes it as "partial 16S ribosomal RNA". It matches the Rfam family "Bacterial small subunit ribosomal RNA", at positions 524 to 776 of the family's 1533-position model. The record is from RNAcentral.